AGCUCGUGAAAGUGAAAGCUUCCUACAAGCUCCCUCCGACUCGCACUGCUCCGGUUAAGAAACCUGAACCUGCUAAGCCUAAAGUCGUUGCCAAGCCGAAAACAGCAAAGGUGGUUGCGAAGCCUAAAGCCAAGGCUGCAGCCAAGCCGAAGCCUAAGGCUGCUGCGAAACCGAAGCCAGCUGUUAAGCCGAAGGCUAAGCCGGCAGAGAAGCCAAAGCCAAAAACGGCUGCUAAACCAAAGCCAGCUGCUACGCCGAAGGCAAAGUCGGCAGUUAAGCCAAAGCCAAAGACGGU
This 295-nucleotide long non-coding RNA is filed under the name Jatropha curcas. Its description in RNAcentral is "long non-coding RNA (JCUR_LNC003125)". The record is from RNAcentral. Lineage: Eukaryota; Viridiplantae; Streptophyta; Magnoliopsida; Malpighiales; Euphorbiaceae.